AGCAGCCGCGGUAAUUCCAGCUCCAAUAGCGUAUAUUAAAGUUGUUGCAGUUAAAAAGCUCGUAGUUGAAUUUCGGGGUUAGUAGGUUGGUCGUGCCACUGGUACGUACUGGUCUCACUGAUUCCUCCCUCCUGAUGAACUGUAAUGCCAUUAAUUUGGUAUUGCAGGGAAACUGGACUGUUACUUUGAAAAAAUUAGAGUGUUUAAAGCAAGCUAACGCUUGAAUACAUUAGCAUGGAAUAAUGAAAUAGGACGUUCGAUCCUAUUUUGUUGGUUUCUAGGAUUGACGUAAUGAUUAAUAGGGAUAGUUGGGGGCAUUAGUAUUCAAUUGUCAGAGGUGAAAUUCUUGGAUUUAUUGAAGACUAACUACUGCGAAAGCAUUUGCCAAGGAUGUUUUCAUUAAUCAAGAACGAAAGUUAGGGGAUCGAAGACGAUCAGAUACCGUCGUAGUCUUAACCAUAAACUAUGCCGACUAGGAAUCAGACGAUGUUAAUUUUUUAAUGACUCGUUUGGCACCUUA
Molecule: ribosomal RNA, 520 nt
Filed under: uncultured Glomus
Lineage: Eukaryota; Fungi; Glomeromycota; Glomeromycetes; Glomerales; Glomeraceae
Description: SSU rRNA
Rfam family: Eukaryotic small subunit ribosomal RNA
Source: RNAcentral